GACGAACGCUGGCGGCGUGCUUAACACAUGCAAGUCGAACGGACAGACAGAGAGCUUGCUCUCUUGAAGUUAGUGGCGAACGGGUGAGUAACGCGUAAUCAACCUGCCCUUCAGAGGGGGAUAACAACGGGAAACCGUUGCUAAUACCGCGUACGAUUCAUGAACGGCAUCGUUUAUGAAUGAAAGGGGGCCUCUAUGUAUAAGCUAUCGCUGAAGGGGGGGAUUGCGUAUGAUUAGCUAGUUGGAGGGGUAACGGCCCACCAAGGAAAUGAUCGGUAGCCGGUCUGAGAGGAUGAACGGCCACAUUGGGACUGAGACACGGCCCAAACUCCUACGGGAGGCAGCAGUGGGGAAUCUUCCGCAAUGGACGAAAGUCUGACGGGGCAACGCCGCGUGAGUGAUGAAGGUCUUCGGAUUGUAAAGCUCUGUUAAUCGGGACGAAAGAGUUCUGCGUGAAUAAUGCAGAAAAGUGACGGUACCGGAAUAGAAAGCCACGGCUAACUACGUGCCAGCCGCCGCCGUAA
This 524-nucleotide ribosomal RNA is filed under the name uncultured bacterium. RNAcentral describes it as "partial 16S ribosomal RNA". It matches the Rfam family "Bacterial small subunit ribosomal RNA", at positions 28 to 523 of the family's 1533-position model. The record is from RNAcentral.